UCCUCUCCCUCUCCCUCUCUUUGUGUCUUGUUUGCUCUGAGGAAAGCCAGUUGUCAUGCUAGUAGUUUGCCCAUGAAAAAGCCAAUAUGGCAAGGAACUGAGGGAAGCCUCCAGCCAACAGCCAAGAAGAACUGAGGCCUUCAGUUCGACAUCCGAGGAGGAACUGAAUCUUGAUAAAAACUACGGGUGAUUUUGGAGUGCGUCAUCCCCAAGUCAAGCCUUGAGGUUUGGCAAAAGUGGUCGCUGAGGAAUACGAACAGUCUGGGCUGAGGCCUGAGGACCACGGAGCUUAUCUAAAGGCAGCUGGAGCUCCACCCGCAGUUUGACAGACGACCUCGAACUCAGCAGGAAGCAAUUACAGAAGAGAACCUGCACCCACCAGCUCCUCUCAAGAAUGAGGAGCUGGACAAAAGGCAGAGACUCGUCCCCUGGCAAAGUCCAUUAAUAACCCUUGGGAAAUAAAAAGAGAAUCUGGGCAAUAAAACGAAGCCUAAACUU
Long non-coding RNA from Phacochoerus africanus (Common warthog), 498 nucleotides. RefSeq lists it as uncharacterized. The record is from RefSeq and is a predicted model, not a curated record. Lineage: Eukaryota; Metazoa; Chordata; Mammalia; Artiodactyla; Suidae. The transcript is spliced from 2 exons.